RNAcentral lists this ribosomal RNA (492 nucleotides) under uncultured bacterium. RNAcentral's name for it is "partial 16S ribosomal RNA". It matches the Rfam family "Bacterial small subunit ribosomal RNA", at positions 29 to 507 of the family's 1533-position model. The record is from RNAcentral.
AGUGAACGCUGGCGGUAGGCCUAACACAUGCAAGUCGAACGGCAGCACAGUAAGAGCUUGCUCUUACGGGUGGCGAGUGGCGGACAGGUGAGGAAUACAUCGGAAUCUACUUUUUCGUGGGGGAUAACGUAGGGAAACUUACGCUAAUACCGCAUACGACCUACGGGUGAAAGCAGGGGAUCUUCGGACCUUGCGCGAUUGAAUGAGCCGAUGUCGGAUUAGCUAGUUGGCGGGGUAAAGGCCCACCAAGGCGACGAUCUGUAGCUGGUCUGAGAGGAUGAUCAGCCACACUGGAACUGAGACACGGUCCAGACUCCUACGGGAGGCAGCAGUGGGGAAUAUUGGACAAUGGGCGCAAGCCUGAUCCAGCCAUACCGCGUGGGUGAAGAAGGCCUUCGGGUUGUAAAGCCCUUUUGUUGGGAAAGAAAAGCAGCAGGUUAAUACCCCGCUGUUCUGACGGUACCCAAAGAAUAAGCACCGGCUAACUUCGUG